Lingula anatina is the source of this 943-nucleotide long non-coding RNA. The record is from RefSeq and is a predicted model, not a curated record. NCBI's taxonomy places the organism in Eukaryota, Metazoa, Brachiopoda, Lingulata, Lingulida, Lingulidae.
UGUAAUGUUGACUUCGGAUAUAUAUUCACCACUACUAGCGACACUCGGCAUCUUAAAUACACACAGGGGAACUCAGAGAAUGAUAUUUAGACCGAGGAUGGAAGAAACUCGUUUCCUCUGUUUUAGUUAAGACCAAAAGCUUCUUCACGACCGUUAUUGGUUUGUUUGUCGUGUGACACGUAUAUCACGUAUAGGAGGUGGCUUGACACGUACUGGCAGUGCGUAAAGUAAGACAGACUUACUCUGAGAAGUCUCAUUAUCCGAGUUAAUUUCAGUUUGUAAAAACGAGCAUGGAAGUGUUUCUGUUCUUCUCCACUCUUGUUUUUGGAUUCAUGGCAAGUGACGUCUUUAGUCGCUAUUCAAUUUAUACUUUCGCCGCGUGUAGAACUGACUCUUGUCGUAAUGGUGUGGGAGAUGCUUUGAUGGAGCUAGUGCAUUUAUUGGUGCGGCAUGCCUACGUGUGUAUUCUCGUAACCGUAUAACAGGUGAAUCCAUUGCAAGCAACGCGAGCAACCACAUGCACUGCACAGUUUCCAAUCCCCUCCGGCUCGUUUUGUGUCUACUUUUAUAGAAGUCAACACGCUAUCAAAUCAUGUUCCUCAGCGGCAAGGUGUUUAUGGAGAAUACAUAAGGGUUAUUAUUGACAGGAUAUUUUCGCCAAACAGUUGAUAAAAGUGAUUAAGAAACGGAAAUGACAAAUAGAUUGCAGAUUUUAUAUUAACGUAUAUUCAGAUGUGUUGAUUUAUUGUAGUUGCCAUCAGUUUGGAGAGAUAAAUAUAUUUGACUUGAAACUGUAUGUGUCUCAAUGUGUGUUAUAGCUGCCGAUACGAGUUAUUUAAUGUAUAAAAGAUGUAAAAACAAGACAGAUUAUAACCGAAUUCAGUUCCACCAUAGCUUUUAAUAUUUAAGUGUUAAUUUUCUACACUUCUUACAAUUGAAGCUC